This 291-nucleotide long non-coding RNA is filed under the name Capsella rubella. RNAcentral's name for it is "long non-coding RNA (CRUB_LNC004870)". Lineage: Eukaryota; Viridiplantae; Streptophyta; Magnoliopsida; Brassicales; Brassicaceae. The record is from RNAcentral.
AAAAAUAACGAUAAGAUUUGGUUUUGUUACCCCUAAAAACAACUAUAUUAAAAAGUUAUAUAGUAAAAAAUAAGUGGUUGUCUAUUUUAGACCGGAUAAAACAACUAAAAAUAAAAAAAUUCCUAACCCGGAUGAUAAAAAUUUAAGCGGGUUAACACGUCUGCUAUUCAUACUCUGCAACCGAUUAAAAUAUGUUUAACUCACAAAUAUAUACAUUUCGCAUUCUCCACAUUAGUAAAUGAUAUAUUUGCAUAUGUUCUGUUUGAAUUCAUGUAUUACGCUAAAUUUCCG